RNAcentral lists this transfer RNA (71 nucleotides) under Isophya modesta rossica. RNAcentral's name for it is "transfer RNA-Val". The record is from RNAcentral. Lineage: Eukaryota; Metazoa; Arthropoda; Insecta; Orthoptera; Tettigoniidae.
AAUAAAGCUUAAAAGUUARGCGUUCCGUUUACACUGGGRAGGUUUCUGUGCRAUUCAGACUGUUUUGAGGG